AAGGGCCAUCGCUCAACGGAUAAAAGGUACUCCGGGGAUAACAGGCUGAUACCGCCCAAGAGUUCAUAUCGACGGCGGUGUUUGGCACCUCGAUGUCGGCUCAUCACAUCCUGGGGCUGAAGUAGGUCCCAAGGGUAUGGCUGUUCGCCAUUUAAAGUGGUACGCGAGCUGGGUUUAGAACGUCGUGAGACAGUUCGGUCCCUAUCUGCCGUGGGCGCUGGAGAACUGAGGGGGGCUGCUCCUAGUACGAGAGGACCGGAGUGGACGCAUCACUGGUGUUCGGGUUGUCAUGCCAAUGGCACUGCCCGGUAGCUAAAUGCGGAAGAGAUAAGUGCUGAAAGCAUCUAAGCACGAAACUUGCCCCGAGAUGAGUUCUCCCUGAGACUUUAGGUCUCCUGAAGGAACGUUGAAGACGACGACGUUGAUAGGCCGGGUGUGUAAGCGCAGCGAUGCGUUGAGCUAACCGGUACUAAUGAACCGUGAGGCUUAACCUUACA
Molecule: ribosomal RNA, 497 nt
Filed under: Salmonella enterica subsp. enterica serovar Montevideo
Lineage: Bacteria; Pseudomonadati; Pseudomonadota; Gammaproteobacteria; Enterobacterales; Enterobacteriaceae
Description: partial 23S ribosomal RNA
Rfam family: Bacterial large subunit ribosomal RNA
Source: RNAcentral